CCAGCGAGGAGGCUGGGGUGUGCAGGGAGCUGGGAGGGGACACAGCUGGGACAGCUGAUCCCACACCACAUGGUGUCACGCUCAGGUUAUAAAGGAAGAAGAAAGGAGGGGUCAAUUGGAGUGGUGAAGUUUGUCUUCUCUCGUCACUGUGAGGCCUGAUGGGGCCCUGUUAUCCUGGAGAUGGCUAAACACCUAUCUGACCAUGGAAACUGUAGGUCUUUGUUGCAAUUCUCUUCCUAGUAAUGAGUAUCUUCACUGACUUUGGAAAAGUUUUCGAAGUGCUUGAAGACAGGCACCUGAUUAUGCUUCUGCACUAGAGAUCCAAAAGAGCUGCAUUUAAAAUUACACAGCUCAGGAAAAGUACUUAAACUUCACUCAAGUCCUUGAAUAACAUUCAAAUCCUUCCUAGUGGCAUGUCUUUCAAGCUUUUUUGGUUCAACAGAACAAAGUUUUUGGUUGAUGUCUAAGUGAAUCACCAAAGCAGUUACUCAUUCUCAGAAAAAUACACUUGACAUCCUGCGUGUCAAACCACUAGAAACAGAAAGGACCCCUCUCAUGGACAAGUAAUAUGGAAGUAGUCAUCCUGGGCCAGUAUUUCCAGAUGAUAGUUCAGGUAAUGGGAAAAAGUACAAAUUCAAGCACUGCCAUUGCCUCUUUAAUUGGUCCCUUUGGAACUGGAAGAAGCAGUUGUUGUAGGAGUGUUACAUAAUGAAAAAAGCUGUCAUUUUCCAUCUAAACUACUUCAGGUUUUUAGUGUGUGGGGAGAAAAGUUUUGAUGGAGAAGGUUUUAUUGGUACUUUUUCUUUAAUUACAAUUAUUUUAAUUCUGAAAAUUUUAUAGGCUAUCUCAUGCUCUUCAUGUGCCUAUCAUGGCAACAUAGUUCCAAGAAAUUACAUUAAACACUAGGUAUCAUACAACUGCAUAUUGUCUUAUGAAGUAAUACUCUCAUUCAAAACAUAUUUGGACUAGGGUAUGUGAGAUUUUCUUUAUUGGUAUUCCUCAAGAAAAGAUUAUAUAUCUUUUGUGAGAGUGACUCUUUUCUGUGAAUGAGGUUUGCAGCAUACCAGGGGAAUCUC
Molecule: long non-coding RNA, 1076 nt
Organism: Passer domesticus (house sparrow)
Lineage: Eukaryota; Metazoa; Chordata; Aves; Passeriformes; Passeridae
Exons: 4
Source: RefSeq, a predicted model, not a curated record